AUCAAUCGAUAAGAUGUGCACCAAAGGUGGCUUGAAAAGAGUCUACCUAGUAGAUGAGGGAUUGUUCCUCUUAUCUGCGACACCGUCAAAUUGCCGGGAAAUCUCGUCAAGCCCUUGAUACCACCCUGUCUGGGAAACCGAGGCAGUGGAACCGCGUCGAAAGUCGUGGGCAUGGUAAAAAUUUAAGGGAUAGAGACAAUCGGCAGCCAAGCCCUAAGGGUCACUCCGGUGUCCUAUGGGUGCAGUUCACAGACUAAAUGUCGGUGGGUCCAGCUCGUGCUGGGCUUAAGAUAUAGUCGGCCCGCCCCGAGAGGGGAUCCUAUGAGAGGACUUGCCUUGGGCAAUGAGAGCUCGU
RNAcentral lists this non-coding RNA (355 nucleotides) under Chlorella variabilis. Its description in RNAcentral is "partial non-coding RNA". The stretch from base 23 to 319 matches the Rfam family "Group I catalytic intron". Rfam says of the family: Group I catalytic introns are large self-splicing ribozymes. They catalyse their own excision from mRNA, tRNA and rRNA precursors in a wide range of organisms. Lineage: Eukaryota; Viridiplantae; Chlorophyta; Trebouxiophyceae; Chlorellales; Chlorellaceae. The record is from RNAcentral.